This 73-nucleotide transfer RNA is filed under the name Episoriculus leucops (Long-tailed brown-toothed shrew). RNAcentral's name for it is "tRNA-Asn". The record is from RNAcentral. Lineage: Eukaryota; Metazoa; Chordata; Mammalia; Eulipotyphla; Soricidae.
UAGAUUGAAGCCAGUUGUCUAGGGUAUUUAGCUGUUAACUAAAAUUUCGUGGGGUGAAAGCCCACCAAUCUAG